CCUACGGGUGGCAGCAGUGAGGAAUAUUGGUCAAUGGCCGCAAGCCUGAACCAGCCAAGCCGCGUGAAGGAUGAAGGCCCUACGCAUUGUAAACUUCUUUUGUCAAGGAAUAAAGUGAGGCACGUGAGCCUUAUUGAAUGUACUUUAUGAAUAAGGAUCGGCUAACUCCGUGCCAGCAGCCGCGGUAAUACGGAGGAUCCGAGCGUUAUCCGGAUUUAUUGGGUUUAAAGGGUGCGUAGAUGGGUUGUUAAGUCAGGUGGGAAAGGUCGGGGCUCAACCGUAGAAGUGCAAUUGAUACUGGCAGCAUUGAGUAGAGUAGAGGUAGGCGGAAUUCGGGGUGUAGCGGUGAAAUGCUUAGAUAUUACGAAGAACUCCGAUUGCGAAGGCAGCCUACUAAACUGCCUCUGACGCUGAGGCUCGAAAGCGUGGGUAUCAAACAGGAUUAGAUACCCUUGUAGUC
RNAcentral lists this ribosomal RNA (460 nucleotides) under uncultured bacterium. Its description in RNAcentral is "partial 16S ribosomal RNA". It matches the Rfam family "Bacterial small subunit ribosomal RNA", at positions 338 to 795 of the family's 1533-position model. The record is from RNAcentral.